GAGUAACACGUGGGAAACCUGCCCAGAAGCGGGGGAUAACACCUGGAAACAGAUGCUAAUACCGCAUAACAACUUGGACCGCAUGGUCCGAGUUUGAAAGAUGGCUUCGGCUAUCACUUUUGGAUGGUCCCGCGGCGUAUUAGCUAGAUGGUGGGGUAACGGCUCACCAUGGCAAUGAUACGUAGCCGACCUGAGAGGGUAAUCGGCCACAUUGGGACUGAGACACGGCCCAAACUCCUACGGGAGGCAGCAGUAGGGAAUCUUCCACAAUGGACGAAAGUCUGAUGGAGCAACGCCGCGUGAGUGAAGAAGGGUUUCGGCUCGUAAAACUCUGUUGUUAAAAAAGAAAAUAUCUGAGAGGAACUGUUCAGGUAUUGACGGUAUUUAACCAGAAAGCCACGGCUAACUACGUGCCAGCAGCCGCGGUAAUACGUAGGUGGCAAGCGUUGUCCGGAUUUAUUGGGCGUAAAGCGAGCGCAGGCGGUUUUUUAAGUCUGAUGUGAAAGCCUUCGGCUCAACCGAAGAAGUGCAUCGGAAACUGGGAAACUUGAGUGCAGAAGAGGACAGUGGAACUCCAUGUGUAGCGGUGAAAUGCGUAGAUAUAUGGAAGAACACCAGUGGCGAAGGCGGCUGUCUGGUCUGUAACUGACGCUGAGGCUCGAAAGUAUGGGUAGCAAACAGGAUUAGAUACCCUGGUAGUCCAUACCGUAAACGAUGAAUGCUAAGUGUUGGAGGGUUUCCGCCCUUCAGUGCUGCAGCUAACGCAUUAAGCAUUCCGCCUGGGGAGUACGGCCGCAAGGCUGAAACUCAAAGGAAUUGACGGGGGCCCGCACAAGCGGUGGAGCAUGUGGUUUAAUUCGAAGCUACGCGAAGAACCUUACCAGGUCUUGACAUACUAUGCAAAUCUAAGAGAUUAGACGUUCCCUUCGGGGACAUGGAUACAGGUGGUGCAUGGUUGUCGUCAGCUCGUGUCGUGAGAUGUUGGGUUAAGUCCCGCAACGAGCGCAACCCUUAUUAUCAGUUGCCAGCAUUAAGUUGGGCACUCUGGUGAGACUGCCGGUGACAAACCGGAGGAAGGUGGGGAUGACGUCAAAUCAUCAUGCCCCUUAUGACCUGGGCUACACACGUGCUACAAUGGAUGGUACAACGAGUUGCGAACUCGCGAGAGUAAGCUAAUCUCUUAAAGCCAUUCUCAGUUCGGAUUGUAGGCUGCAACUCGCCUACAUGAAGUCGGAAUCGCUAGUAAUCGCGGAUCAGCAUGCCGCGGUGAAUACGUUCCCGGGCCUUGUACACACCGCCCGUCACACCAUGAGAGUUUGUAACACCCAAAGUCGGUGGGGUAACCUUUUAGGAACCAGCCGCCUAAGGUGGGACAGAUGAUUAGGGUGAAGUCGUAACAAGGU
Molecule: ribosomal RNA, 1403 nt
Filed under: Lactiplantibacillus plantarum
Lineage: Bacteria; Bacillati; Bacillota; Bacilli; Lactobacillales; Lactobacillaceae
Description: bacterial SSU rRNA
Rfam family: Bacterial small subunit ribosomal RNA
Source: RNAcentral